AAAGGAAUAGACGGGGACCCACACAAGCAGUGGAUCAUGUGGUUUAAUUCGACAAUAAACGAGGGACCUUACCCAGGCUUGACAUCCCGAGAAGUCCGAUGAAAGUUGGAUGUGCCCGCAAGGGAACUCGGUGACAGGCGCUGCAUGGUUGUCGUCAGCUCGUGCCUUGAGGUGUUCGGUUAAGUCCGUUAACGAGCGCAACCCAUGUCGUUAGUUAUUAUGUCUAACGAGACUGCCUGAGUUAAUCAGGAGGAAGGUGUGGAUGACGUCAAAUCAGCAUGGCCCUUAUGCCUGGGGCCACACACAUGAUACAAUGGUCGGUACAAAGAGUCGCAAUACAGUAAUGUGGAGCCAAUCUAUAAAGCCGAUCUCAGUCCGGAUUGGGGGCUGCAACUCGCCCUCAUGAAGUUGGAAUUGCUAGUAAUCGUGAAUCAGACAUGUCACGGUGAAUCUGUUCCUGGGUCUUGUACACACCGCCCGU
Molecule: ribosomal RNA, 481 nt
Filed under: uncultured bacterium
Lineage: Bacteria
Description: bacterial SSU rRNA
Rfam family: Bacterial small subunit ribosomal RNA
Source: RNAcentral